GACGAACGCUGGCGGCGUGCUUAACACAUGCAAGUCGAGCGGUAAGGCCUCUUCGGGGGUACACGAGCGGCGAACGGGUGAGUAACACGUGGGUGACCUGCCCUCAGCUCUGGGAUAAGCCUGGGAAACUGGGUCUAAUACCGGAUAUGACCACAUGUUGCAUGGUGUGUGGUGGAAAGUUUUUUCGGCUGGGGAUGGGCCCGCGGCCUAUCAGCUUGUUGGUGGGGUGAUGGCCUACCAAGGCGACGACGGGUAGCCGGCCUGAGAGGGCGACCGGCCACACUGGGACUGAGACACGGCCCAGACUCCUACGGGAGGCAGCAGUGGGGAAUAUUGCGCAAUGGGCGGAAGCCUGACGCAGCGACGCCGCGUGGGGGAUGACGGCCUUCGGGUUGUAAACCUCUUUCGACCGGGACGAAGCGUAAGUGACGGUACCGGUAGAAGAAGCACCGGCCAACUACGU
Molecule: ribosomal RNA, 463 nt
Filed under: uncultured bacterium
Lineage: Bacteria
Description: partial 16S ribosomal RNA
Rfam family: Bacterial small subunit ribosomal RNA
Source: RNAcentral